This 1064-nucleotide long non-coding RNA is filed under the name Anas platyrhynchos platyrhynchos (common mallard). RNAcentral describes it as "lncRNA (ENSAPLG00000021620.1)". Lineage: Eukaryota; Metazoa; Chordata; Aves; Anseriformes; Anatidae. The record is from RNAcentral.
AUGACUUUAAUUUACAUAUUUCCUAAGCCACCCUAUCAAUGUUUUCUGUUCCUUAUUUGGUUAUUCAUCACUAAAGAAAUUUUAAACUCUAUUUCUGUUUUGCAAAUGCUGAGAACAACACGCCAACUGAGAGCAAAGGGUUGUAUUCCUAGAAGAAGUAUGCUAAAUUCAGAGAGAUGGAAUUUUGCACUCAUCUGCACACUGCUGCCAACAUGCCAGAGCUAUCUGAGGGAGGAAUUACCUCCAGGGAUGAGAGUGGAACUGCUCUUACAGCUCCUGGGGAAAGGUUACAUCCUUUCACCUGGCUUCUUCUGAAAACCGGGCAUUUGGAAACCCCUUGAGUAUAUUUGCUGCAGCCUUUUUUUGGUAUGUCUCUAGCUCAUACAUGCUAAUGAACAUGCAACACCCAGAAUUACUGCAUUGGCCCCAUGACACUUGGUUCUACUUCAUGUCUUUCUUCUUUCUUCUCGAGAUUGCCAUAAAGAUUGCACCUGUGCUCCUGCAUGUACUUAUGCACACCACAGCCUCUGAAUAAUGUAGACUCAUAGGAAAGACUUCAAAGAAUCAUAACACAGCCGUUUUAAACGGCUGGGAGGAGAGGCUGAUGGGAAAUGUUAUAAGAAUUCAGCAUUUCUUGCUUAGCUAAGCAGUAAUUUAGAAGGACAUGUAAACUAUGUGCAAGUAUUUCAAAGAAAACAAAAAGCAAACAAAAGCUCUGCACACUGCCCUGAUGUUGCAGACAAAGAGCAAGGAAGGGAGAGGUUUGCAGCAAGCUGUCUGCUCGAGUUUGUCAUUUUGUUAAGCACUCACACAUCGUGAUCAGGGUAAUGAAAGUAUUUGGGCAGAUUUGGAUAUUGAUAGCCAUAAAUGCAAAGGGGAAGAAGGUGAAUGGAUUAUCAGUGACCUGAGCAAGUCAUUGUGUAAAUGAGAUCAAUUACUCAGGAGUUCAUUAGUGAAAGAACAUAAAUAUCCUUCCUUCUCUUGCUAUGGAUAUCUUAUUGGGUUCCUAUCAUAUAUCAAAGCAAAACACAGAUUCUGUCUUUCAGAGACAAUGAUGGGUUAAC